GCUCCCAUAGCUCAACGGACAGAGCGCCCGCCUUCUAAGCGGGAAAUAGAAGUUCGAUUCUUCUUGGGAGCA
Molecule: transfer RNA, 72 nt
Filed under: Candidatus Wolfebacteria bacterium GWA1_42_9
Lineage: Bacteria; Candidatus Wolfeibacteriota
Description: tRNA-Arg
Rfam family: tRNA
About the family: Transfer RNA (tRNA) molecules are approximately 80 nucleotides in length. Their secondary structure includes four short double-helical elements and three loops (D, anti-codon, and T loops). Further hydrogen bonds mediate the characteristic L-shaped molecular structure. tRNAs have two regions of fundamental functional importance: the anti-codon, which is responsible for specific mRNA codon recognition, and the 3' end, to which the tRNAs corresponding amino acid is attached (by aminoacyl-tRNA synthetases). tRNAs cope with the degeneracy of the genetic code in two manners: having more than one tRNA (with a specific anti-codon) for a particular amino acid; and 'wobble' base-pairing, i.e. permitting non-standard base-pairing at the 3rd anti-codon position.
Source: RNAcentral